This 279-nucleotide long non-coding RNA is filed under the name Brachypodium distachyon (stiff brome). RNAcentral describes it as "long non-coding RNA (BDIS_LNC000749)". Lineage: Eukaryota; Viridiplantae; Streptophyta; Magnoliopsida; Poales; Poaceae. The record is from RNAcentral.
UAUCUCGAUUUUGUUUUUUUUCCUGUAAGACCUUCCAGCAGCUUCUCUAUGAUGAAUUAACAAUUUUCUAAAGAAAAAAGAACUUUUUCUCUCAACUUGCUGCAAAGUUUGUUUUUCAUAACUUAAAAAAUUCGUAUUUUUAUUUUGUCCCUCAACUCUCUGAACCUGACACAUUUCGUUCCUGCCCCCAGGCCAAGCAGUAUUUCACGUGGAUAGUUUUCAUAUGCUGAUCUCCAUAUCGGCAGUGGCGGAGCUGGGUGCUAAAAUUUUAUGUCAUGU